UGGCAGGUACAGAGGGGUGCUACCGGGUGACCGGAUGCCGAUCUCGAAAACCUGUCCCAGUUCGGACUGGAGUCUGCAACCCGACUCCACGAAGUUGGAUUCGCUAGUAAUCGCGCAUCAGCCAUGGCGCGGUGAAUACGUUCCCGGGCCUUGUACACACCGCCCGUCAAGCCAUGGGAGCCGGGGGCGCCUGAAGUCCGGGACCGCGAGGACCGGCCUAGGGCGAAACUGGUGACUGGGGCUAAGUCGUAACAAGGUAUC
RNAcentral lists this ribosomal RNA (261 nucleotides) under uncultured bacterium. RNAcentral describes it as "partial 16S ribosomal RNA". It matches the Rfam family "Bacterial small subunit ribosomal RNA", at positions 1231 to 1500 of the family's 1533-position model. The record is from RNAcentral.